UUUCUUUUUAAAAGAAUUAAUUCUAACUUGACAAAUUAGAAGAACUCAAGCCAACAUCUUUAUAAAUAGAAUUAACUUGAUUAUUUCUUAUAGAGCUCUCUUCAUCACAACCCUUAAUAUUAAUCGAUAAAUCCAUACAAAAUCUUGUCCCUUGUAUAAGUUAUUCAAAAUUUAACAUUAGCAAGAUGUCUUAAUUUAAUUUAAAAAUCCGAACUUUGACUUGAAUAAUUAAUAUACUUCACCAUUUUCAAUAAUC
RNAcentral lists this long non-coding RNA (256 nucleotides) under Elaeis guineensis (African oil palm). RNAcentral's name for it is "long non-coding RNA (EGUI_LNC001302)". The record is from RNAcentral. Lineage: Eukaryota; Viridiplantae; Streptophyta; Magnoliopsida; Arecales; Arecaceae.